This 336-nucleotide unclassified non-coding RNA is filed under the name soil metagenome. Its description in RNAcentral is "partial contains 5.8S ribosomal RNA, internal transcribed spacer 2, and large subunit ribosomal RNA". The stretch from base 1 to 120 matches the Rfam family "5.8S ribosomal RNA", at positions 35 to 154 of the family's 154-position model. The record is from RNAcentral.
GAUGAAGAACGUAGCGAAAUGCGAUAAGUAAUGUGAAUUGCAGAAUUCAGUGAAUCAUCGAAUCUUUGAACGCACAUUGCGCCCGCCAGUAUUCUGGCGGGCAUGCCUGUUCGAGCGUCAUUUCAACCAUCAAGCCCCAGGCUUGUGUUGGGGACCUGCGGCUGCCGCAGGCCCUGAAAACCAGUGGCGGGCUCGCUGUCACACCGGGCGUAGUAGAUUUUAUCUCGCUCAGGGCGUGCUGCGGGUUCCGGCCGUUAAAAAGCCUUUUUUACCCAAGGUUGACCUCGAAUCAGGUAGGAAGACCCGCUGAACUUAAGCAUAUCAAUAAGCGGAGGA